CACGCCCUAAACGAUGUACUCUAGUUUUAUGGGGUUUCGACCCCCUGUGAGACUAAGCUAACGCGAUAAGAGUACCGCCUGGGUAGUACGACCGCAAGGUUAAAACUCAAAGGAAUAGACGGGGACUUGCACAAGCGGUGGAUUAUGUGGUUUAAUUCGUAGGUAAACGAAGAACCUUACCAAGGUUUGACACCUAACUGAAAGCUCUAAGAAACUAGAGCCCUCGCAAGACAGUUAGGCAGGUGA
RNAcentral lists this ribosomal RNA (246 nucleotides) under uncultured bacterium. RNAcentral's name for it is "partial 16S ribosomal RNA". It matches the Rfam family "Bacterial small subunit ribosomal RNA", at positions 796 to 1041 of the family's 1533-position model. The record is from RNAcentral.